CGUGUAGGCGGUUUCGUAAGUCGGAUGUGAAAGCUCCUGGCUCAACUGGGAGAGGCCAUUCGAUACUGCGGGACUUGAGGACGGGAGAGGGACGUGGAAUCCCCGGUGUAGUGGUGGAAUGCGUAGAUAUCGGGAGGAACACCAGUGGCGAAGGCGACGUCCUGGCCCGCACCUGACGCUAAGACGCGAAAGCGUGGGUAGCGAACG
Molecule: ribosomal RNA, 207 nt
Filed under: uncultured bacterium
Lineage: Bacteria
Description: partial 16S ribosomal RNA
Rfam family: Bacterial small subunit ribosomal RNA
Source: RNAcentral